This is a long non-coding RNA of Labeo rohita (rohu), 534 nucleotides long. RefSeq lists it as uncharacterized. The transcript has 5 exons. The record is from RefSeq and is a predicted model, not a curated record. Lineage: Eukaryota; Metazoa; Chordata; Actinopteri; Cypriniformes; Cyprinidae.
CCAAAGCUCCAGUUAAAUUCAGUUGCUGCCAGCGCUUACCUAUCCCGCCCGGGAGAGAACAACUAACCUGCUGAAAGCGAUCAUCUCCAAAUGAUUGAUGACGAGGACUAUAUAGUCUCCUUCCUCGCAAGUGUUUUCAGCAUUGAUCAGACCGCCCGCACGUUAAAUGAGCAGCAGUGAUGGUUCCACAUGAGCAGAAGAUCUACAUAAGAAGACAGGUUUGGAAUGACGUGAGGGAAGCCUUGCAAUUGUACAUGGGAGGCUCAAGAAGAUGGCUGUUUAUACCAUUUUAAGCGGGCAGAAAGAGCAUCUGUGGAAACGAGUGUGUUGGAGACACCUCAGCACUCAGUCUUCCACCUCCUCUUGUCUGGAAGAGCGUCUAAACAAGCUACAGCUCCUCUGGGGCAGGAAUGUAUGUAUUUAAACCCAGCUGCAGCAGAAAGUGUGAGAAAUCCACUUUCUUCUGUAACAUUUCUUGGCUGCUGGCUUACACCUCGAUGAUCAUGUAAUUAUAUAUAUUCUUUUCUUGCUACA